GACGGAGGAUGCAAGCGUUAUCCGGAAUUAUUGGGCGUAAAGCGUCCGCAGGUGGCUGUUCAAGUCUGCUGUCAAAGCGCAGAGCUUAACUCUGUACAGGCGGUGGAAACUGAAGAGCUAGAGUAUGGUAGGGGUAGAGGGAAUUCCCGGUGUAGCGGUGAAAUGCGUAGAUAUCGGGAAGAACACCAGUGGCGAAGGCGGCUAUCUGGUCUAACACUGACACUGAGACACGAAAGCGUGGGGAGCAAACAGG
This 253-nucleotide ribosomal RNA is filed under the name uncultured bacterium. Its description in RNAcentral is "partial 16S ribosomal RNA". It matches the Rfam family "Bacterial small subunit ribosomal RNA", at positions 524 to 776 of the family's 1533-position model. The record is from RNAcentral.